Pundamilia nyererei is the source of this 613-nucleotide long non-coding RNA. RefSeq lists it as uncharacterized. Lineage: Eukaryota; Metazoa; Chordata; Actinopteri; Cichliformes; Cichlidae. The record is from RefSeq and is a predicted model, not a curated record. The transcript is spliced from 4 exons.
UCAAAAUUGCAAGAGGACUCUCAGCAAAGACAGGGACGACAGCUCUGAGGCCCGCCACACUAAAAAACACAAAAAGAGUAAGAAAAAGAAGAAAUCAAAGGAUAAAGACAGACACCGUGAGAGUGGAAGUUCUGACGGAGAUUCAGACAGAGCUGCGGAAAUGAAGAAGAAAAGGAAAAAGAAGAGACAUCGGGACAGCGAUCCCGAACUGCACAGCCCAGACGCAGCUCGGAGCCACAGAAACAGAAGCAGCGAGGAAAGGGAGAGCCGCAAGCGACACCACUCUGACAGAGACUUUGAACAUGACAAUGGUUUUCCAUCGGAAAAACGUCGCUGCACAGACUACGCUGACGGCAGCGGUGACCAUCUACUACCUUCCGAUCAUACGCACCGGCAAACGGUUCAAGUUACGGCCAUCUCAAUGGACAACCAGGUUACAGCCAAAUCAGCGGCAGUGGAUUUCCCAGUGACCUGAAACACUGACUCUAUCCAUCAACCGAAUUUUAACAACAGCAGAGGAAUGACAUCAACCUUUUAGAUGUGGUGCUUCUUCAUUAGGAAUAAUAUUGUAUUUUUACCUUAAGUAAAGUGUUUUAAAAUUUAAACUAUCCCC